UGCCUGGCGGCAGUAGCGCGGUGGUCCCACCUGACCCCAUGCCGAACUCAGAAGUGAAACGCCGUAGCGCCGAUGGUAGUGUGGGGUCUCCCCAUGCGAGAGUAGGGAACUGCCAGGCAUCAAAUAAAACGAAAGGCUCAGUCGAAAGACUGGGCCUUUCGUUUUAUCUGUUGUUUGUCGGUGAACGCUCUCCUGAGUAGGACAAAUCCGCCGGGAGCGGAUUUGAACGUUGCGAAGCAACGGCCCGGAGGGUGGCGGGCAGGACGCCCGCCAUAAACUGCCAGGCAU
RNAcentral lists this ribosomal RNA (288 nucleotides) under Cloning vector pEX100T. The record is from RNAcentral. RNAcentral also lists the same sequence under 1 other name.